CCAAGUUUUUAAGGGCGCACGGUGGAUGCCUUGGCACCAGGAACCGAUGAAGGACGUGGGAGGCCACGAUAGGCCCCGGGGAGUCGUCAACCAGGCUUUGAUCCGGGGGUGUCCGAAUGGGGAAACCCGGCAGUCGUCAUGGGCUGUCACCCUUGCCUGAACACAUAGGGCAAGUGGAGGGAACGCGGGGAAGUGAAACAUCUCAGUACCCGCAGGAAGAGAAAACAACCGUGAUUCCGGGAGUAGUGGCGAGCGAAACUGGAUGAGGCUAAACCGUAUACGUGUGAGACCCGGCAGGGGUUGCGUAUGCGGGGUUGUGGGAGUGUGCUUGACUGGUCUGCCGGCUGGUCGGAGAGUCAGAAACCGUUGGUGUAGGCGAAGGACAUGCGAAAGGUCCGGCGUAGAGGGUAAGACCCCCGUAGUCGAAACAUCAGCGGCUCUCUUGUGUAUUUCCCAAGUAGCACGGGGCCCGAGAAAUCCCGUGUGAAUCUGGCGGGACCACCCGCUAAGCCUAAAUAUUCCCUGGUGACCGAUAGCGGAUAGUACCGUGAGGGAAUGGUGAAAAGUACCCCGGGAGGGGAGUGAAAUAGUACCUGAAACCGUGUGCCUACAAGCCGUGGGAGCGUCGGAACGAGGCUUGCCUUGUUCUCGUGACUGCGUGCCUUUUGAAGAAUGAGCCUGCGAGUUUGCGGUGUGUUGCGAGGUUAACCCGUGUGGGGAAGCCGUAGCGAAAGCGAGUCCGAAUAGGGCGGUUUAGUAGCGCGCUCAAGACCCGAAGCGGAGUGAUCUAGCCAUGGGCAGGUUGAAGCGGAGGUAAGACUUCGUGGAGGACCGAACCCACCAGGGUUGAAAACCUGGGGGAUGACCUGUGGUUAGGGGUGAAAGGCCAAUCAAACUCCGUGAUAGCUGGUUCUCCCCGAAAUGCAUUUAGGUGCAGCGUCGUGUGUUUCUUGCCGGAGGUAGAGCACUGGAUAGGCGAUGGGCCCUACCGGGUUACUGACCUUAGCCAAACUCCGAAUGCCGGUAAGUGAGAGCGCGGCAGUGAGACUGUGGGGGAUAAGCUCCAUGGUCGAGAGGGAAACAGCCCAGAGCAUCGACUAAGGCCCCUAAGCGUACGCUAAGUGGGAAAGGAUGUGGAGUCGCAGAGACAACCAGGAGGUUGGCUUAGAAGCAGCCACCCUUGAAAGAGUGCGUAAUAGCUCACUGGUCUAGUGAUUCCGCGCCGACAAUGUAGCGGGGCUCAAGCGUACCGCCGAAGUCGUGUCAUUGCGAUAUGUACCCCUAACGGGGAUCGUGAUGGGUAGGGGAGCGUCGUGUGCCGGGUGAAGCAGCCGCGUAAGCGAGUUGUGGACGGUUCACGAGUGAGAAUGCAGGCAUGAGUAGCGAUUCACACGUGAGAAACGUGUGCGCCGAUUGACUAAGGGUUCCUGGGUCAAGCUGAUCUGCCCAGGGUAAGUCGGGACCUAAGGCGAGGCCGACAGGCGUAGUCGAUGGAUAACCGGUUGAUAUUCCGGUACCCGCUGUGAAGCGUCAAACAUCGAAUCCAGUGAUGCUAAGCCCGUGAAGCCGUUCCGGACCCUUCGGGGAAUGGAAAGUGGUGGAGCCGGUGGCCCAAGUUGGUAGUAGGUGAGUGAUGGGGUGACGCAGGAAGGUAGUCCAUCCCGGGCGGUGGUUGUCCCGGGGUAAGGGUGUAGGCCGGUGUGUAGGUAAAUCCGCACACCUUGUGGCUGAGACCUGAUGCCGAGCCGAUUGUGGUGAAGUGGAUGAUCCUAUGCUGUCGAGAAAAGCCUCUAGCGAGUUUCAUGGCGGCCCGUACCCUAAACCGACUCAGGUGGUCAGGUAGAGAAUACCGAGGCGUUCGGGUGAACUAUGGUUAAGGAACUCGGCAAAAUGCCCCCGUAACUUCGGGAGAAGGGGGGCCACGUCUGGUGAUGGGCUUUGCGCCUUGAGCUGGGGGUGGCCGCAGAGACCAGCGAGAAGCGACUGUUUACUAAAAACACAGGUCCGUGCGAAGCCGUAAGGCGAUGUAUACGGACUGACGCCUGCCCGGUGCUGGAACGUUAAGGGGACCGGUUAGUCACUCUUCGGGGUGGCGAAGCUGAGAACUUAAGCGCCAGUAAACGGCGGUGGUAACUAUAACCAUCCUAAGGUAGCGAAAUUCCUUGUCGGGUAAGUUCCGACCUGCACGAAUGGCGUAACGACUUCUCGACUGUCUCAACCAUAGGCCCGGUGAAAUUGCACUACGAGUAAAGAUGCUCGUUUCGCGCAGCAGGACGGAAAGACCCCGGGACCUUUACUACAGUUUGAUAUUGGUGUUCGGUUCGGCUUGUGUAGGAUAGGUGGGAGACUUUGAAGCGGGCACGCCAGUGUUCGUGGAGUCGUCGUUGAAAUACCACUCUGGUCGUGCUGGAUGUCUAACCUGGGUCCGUGAUCCGGAUCAGGGACAGUGUCUGAUGGGUAGUUUAACUGGGGCGGUUGCCUCCUAAAGAGUAACGGAGGCGCCCAAAGGUUCCCUCAGCCUGGUUGGCAAUCAGGUGUUGAGUGUAAGUGCACAAGGGAGCUUGACUGUGAGACCGACGGGUCGAGCAGGGACGAAAGUCGGGACUAGUGAUCCGGCGGUGGCUUGUGGAAGCGCCGUCGCUCAACGGAUAAAAGGUACCCCGGGGAUAACAGGCUGAUCUUCCCCAAGAGUCCAUAUCGACGGGAUGGUUUGGCACCUCGAUGUCGGCUCGUCGCAUCCUGGGGCUGGAGUCGGUCCCAAGGGUUGGGCUGUUCGCCCAUUAAAGCGGUACGCGAGCUGGGUUUAGAACGUCGUGAGACAGUUCGGUCCCUAUCCGCUGUGCGCGUAGGAGUCUUGAGAAGGGCUGUCCCUAGUACGAGAGGACCGGGACGGACGAACCUCUGGUGUGCCAGUUGUUCUGCCAAGGGCAUGGCUGGUUGGCUACGUUCGGGAGGGAUAACCGCUGAAAGCAUCUAAGCGGGAAGCCUGCUUCGAGAUGAGGACUCCCACCCACUUGAUGGGGUAAGGCUCCCAGUAGACGACUGGGUUGAUAGGCCGGAUCUGGAAGCACGGUAACGUGUGGAGGUGACCGGUACUAAUAGGCCGAGGGCUUGUCCUC
RNAcentral lists this ribosomal RNA (3119 nucleotides) under Streptomyces peruviensis. Its description in RNAcentral is "bacterial LSU rRNA". It matches the Rfam family "Bacterial large subunit ribosomal RNA". The record is from RNAcentral. Lineage: Bacteria; Bacillati; Actinomycetota; Actinomycetes; Kitasatosporales; Streptomycetaceae.